Molecule: ribosomal RNA, 492 nt
Filed under: uncultured bacterium
Lineage: Bacteria
Description: partial 16S ribosomal RNA
Rfam family: Bacterial small subunit ribosomal RNA
Source: RNAcentral
AUUGAACGCUGGCGGCAGGCCUAACACAUGCAAGUCGAACGGUAACAGGCUAUGAGGUGCUGCCGACUGGCGGCCGGGGGAGUAAUACAGCGGAACGUACCCGGAUGUACGGUUUCACGGAGCGUAAGGUGUGCAAAUAUACCCUGAUACCUGAGACUGACAGCGGGGGAAAGCGCAGCAAUGUUUGGCCUCGCGCCAUUGGAGGAGCCGAUGUCGGAUUAGCUAGUUGGCGGGGUAAAGGCCCACCAAGGCGACGAUCCGUAGCUGGUCUGAGAGGAUGAUCAGCCACACUGGGACUGAGACACGGUCCAGACUCCUACGGGAGGCAGCAGUGGGGAAUAUUGGACAAUGGGCGCAAGCCUGAUCCAGCCAUGCCGCGUGCGUGAAGAAGGCCUUCGGGUUGUAAAGCGCUUUUGGUAGGAAAGAAAAGCAGCACGUUAAUACCGCGCGGUUCUGACGGUACCUACAGAAUAAGCACCGGCUAACUUCGUG